AAUUCAGAAAAGUUGUUGAAUUUUCUCAAAAUCAGCAAACCCUAGCAUGAAGAAGAAGUUGUAUCUUCAACUGUAAUUUAAAGCAAGUUCUGGAUUCGAACAACUCAAUUGUACUUUCUCCUCACUCGUCUGCCAUUGUUGAACUCGCCGGAGUUGAACCGAGCUUUGAUACCAUGUUAAAGAGGCACAACCAUUGGAAAAUCAUAGAUGAAAUAGAGGAGGAAGAAGAGAGAAAGGGAGUUGCCUUUAAGAAAUAUCGAAUCUUAUUCAUCAUCAUGUACUGUACAAGUAUAUAUAUACAUACUAUCACUAACUACUAACUCCUUAACAAUAAAAUAACAGUUGUUGACAACUGUACACUAAUCCACUAACUAACUUCUAACAGUCCAACUAACUCUAAAAUAUAUAUACUUCUCAACAGUUACUGCAGAAAAAGAAUAACGGGAAUCAAACUGAAGAAGAUUACCUGAGCUAAAACCUAGUAAUUGAAGCCUUUAUGUAGAUGAUGCAAAAACUCGAAUCGUGUUCCUAUUAUUCAGACACAGAUAAAUAAAAUCAAUAGUAGUUUACCGUGAUAGAGCCAUGAAAGAGCAGAAGAGAGGAGAAGAAAUUGAAAAAAGGAACAUUGGAAGAGAACCGGAGAAGAUAAAGAACUCCAAACUUUAUUAAGCAGUGAGGCUAUACCCAAAAUUUUCUUAUUCUUAAGUAGGCUUAUCAACAAGAUCAGUGUCAAUAUCGGGCCGAGAUAGAAAAGCAUUUAGGCUCUAAAAAAG
This 773-nucleotide long non-coding RNA is filed under the name Nicotiana tabacum (common tobacco). RNAcentral describes it as "long non-coding RNA (NTAB_LNC011564)". The record is from RNAcentral. Lineage: Eukaryota; Viridiplantae; Streptophyta; Magnoliopsida; Solanales; Solanaceae.